AGUUUAUCACAGCUGCUAUCAGACUGCACUGUGGAACUGACCAGUAUGGACGUAAUCAGUAUACCUGUGUCCCUAACGAAGACUUAUCAACUCUUGUAGAAUUCUGCUACAGCAAAAUUGUGGGGCUAUAUCAAAAGGGACAUUGCUUGGUGACGACUGGGAAUGGAGCCUUAGAUCAAAUCAGUUGUCAUCAAUUUAAAACUGGUUGUCCAGUAGAAAAUUUCAGAGGAACUGACCUAUACAAAUUUUCAGAUUGCAGUAGAAUCAACACAGAAAAGCAAUGUUUUUAUGCUGAUCCAUCAUGUCAAAACACG
Saccostrea cuccullata (small rock oyster) is the source of this 314-nucleotide long non-coding RNA. RefSeq lists it as uncharacterized. The transcript is spliced from 3 exons. Lineage: Eukaryota; Metazoa; Mollusca; Bivalvia; Ostreida; Ostreidae. The record is from RefSeq and is a predicted model, not a curated record.